AUGAAGUUCUUUAUGAUUGAUAUUGGUUGGUGUGGACAAGAAUUGGACUUCUAACCGUAUGAGUUUCAUCAGACCAAACCAGGGCCGGCCCUGAGUUUUUAGGGGCUCUAGGCCAAAAGUGAAAAAUGGGGCUCCCCAUUGUAACAUAGCAAUAUAGCAAUUCCAAAAUCAUUUACCAAAAUUUUAUAUUAAUUCAAAUUCUGCACUUGAAUUUUUGUUUCGAUCAUCUUCAACAAUAAUAUUUUCUUCCUCAUUCACUGGAAGAUUUGGUUCGUCUGUACCACCACUUUCAUGUAUAGGCUGACUAAGAUCAUCCUUUUCAUUGGCAUUAAGACCUUGACUCAGUUAUGCACUCUCAUUUUCAGUCAUUAACUGAUCAUGUUCUUCAACAUCCUUCUCAUUCUCAUUCUCAAGUACACUUGCAUCAGCUGAAGUCUUUGCUUGUUUAUUAUUUGUGUUGAAGUACUUACUAAGAGAUCCGGCUUGAAGCUUAACUAAUGCAUCUCUCUUUUGCUUCUCUUUUCUCUUUUGAGCACCGGAAGAAUAUUUUCUAAUUGGAGCCAUGAUAUUAUAACCUGCAAAACGAGUGAAAGACAAAAAUUUAGCCCAGAAGAAUAUUUCUGCACACUAAACAACUUAUCUUGGUCCCCCAAAAAGCUUCAAAAUUUAGCAUAUAGGACUAAAAUAUGAUGACUUUAUACCAAAGAAGGCUGAUC
Molecule: long non-coding RNA, 716 nt
Filed under: Rosa chinensis
Lineage: Eukaryota; Viridiplantae; Streptophyta; Magnoliopsida; Rosales; Rosaceae
Description: sRNA RchiOBHm_Chr6g0255031
Source: RNAcentral